RNAcentral lists this microRNA precursor (117 nucleotides) under Olea europaea subsp. europaea. The record is from RNAcentral. Lineage: Eukaryota; Viridiplantae; Streptophyta; Magnoliopsida; Lamiales; Oleaceae.
CUUGCAGCACCCUUUAAAUCAUUUGGUGCAGUUCGAGAGUUCCUUUGCCAGUGCAAUUGAUAUCGGACAAAAGUGAUGCUCCCGUUUGUACCAAAUGAAUCAAAGUAUGACAUGAAU